CCUGCUCCCGGCGUCGCUCGGGAAGAUGGCGCUGCGUGUCCAGGUCUAUGCCCAAAUGUCAGAAGCCUUGGGAAUAAUAGGUGACAACCAUUUAUGGAAGCAUUUAUGACAAAAAUAUUCACAAAGGAGGCCUCAUAUUGAAGGAGACAAGAGGGGUUAGCAUCAUCUGCCUUCACAUCUCCGGUAUUUGGCAGAAUAAGAUGUGUUACGAAAAUUAAAUACUGGGGAAGAUGUGAGCCCAUGAACUCUUCAGUUUCCAAAUGACCUUUCUGUUGGAUAUCCUUUUUAUUGGAUAUGGCACAACAUGUUAUUUGAAAAUAAUAAGUUUUUAAAAGGUGUGCUUAUUUCUACCUACUUUUACCAACAAAAGACAAAUCAUAUAACUAGUUGCUUAUGGUCAUCUGUCCCAGUCCUAAUCUUCUUGAAGUCAAUACCGUUGGUGAGUUCAACAAUAUUGAGAACGGGACUGAUUCUGUUGGCAGCUGAGAAGAGGAUUGGUUCUACUUGAGGAUGAGUCAACUAAGGAUUUUUUUCUCACUAAAAGUUCCUGAAAGUUUUCCCAGCCUGCCUGUGUAAUUAUAAUGCUGCAAGGCUGCUUUUCCUUAACACCUGCUACGUACAGUCUCCUGAAAAAGCUUGUGAAAAUAGACAGUGAAAUCUAUGCUUCAGAAUCACACAAGGAAGCACUUCCCUUUCCUGGAUGUCAGUGAGGAUUUGAGCCUCAGUGACCCGAGGUGCUGGACAGUGUUCCACACUGGCUCACUCAGCUUCUCCUGGACUUAGGUCACCUGAAGUUCCUGGGAUGUCAGUGAGAUUUCUCUGUGGAAGCCUCGGAGCCUGACCCUUCUGAAGAAGUGUGAAGAUGAUGUGUGUGAUGCUUUUGCUGGUUUCUUUUGGUUUCUUUUCCUGUAGGUGAAGAUGGGUAUGAGUUUGAGAACUUCAUGCUCCCCCUCUAAGUUUCAUUUGAAAGUGUGACUCAGAUACUCAACAGUAGUGUUGAACAAAAAAAAGCAAAAGGUAGGGUUUUUUCAAGUAUAGGGGAAGAAAUUAUUGAUGGGAAAAAAUAAUAGUGAGGCAAGGAUUCAGCAACAAGUCUGGCAGCUUUUCUGUUAGUCUCCCUUGACUGUACAUACCUGUAUACUUAUAUACAUAUGGACUUAUAUACAUAUAUACCUGUGUACAUGUAUCUAAUUAGGAAGGUAGACAGUAGAGAUACAAGGGCUAUGAAUACUAUUCUAAAUAAACUUUGUACAAAGAUUUUAUAAGGACCUUGAGAUUUUCCAGUGCUUUGCAGAUCAAAUGACCCCAUUUGAAGCUCAUUUAUUAACAAAGGGACAAAUUUUUCUUCAGUGAUAGCUUAUCUGUUCCAUAUCUAAUAUUCCCCUUUGCCACGCAAGUAUCCUGUUUGUGUAUAUUAACAUAUUUAUUUGGGGGUAUGAGAAGACAUGUAACACAAUUGAUAAAACACUACUGCUUUAAAGUAUUUUUUUUUUCAAACAAGAAUUUAUUAUAUAAAUCAAGACUUUAUUAAAUGGCUGGGCAUAUAUGUAUAAAUAGGAACGGGCCUUGAAGUAUGGCACCCUUAAACUGAACAAAGUGAUUAGGAUAACUGAUAGCUAAAUAAGGUUUUUAUGUGCCUGUGGGAGCCAUAUUAGGAUUGAUUUGACAAGGCAGUUCAGCUGUGGCAACAGUCAUAACAUCUAACACAACAUUAUGUUUUAUUAGUAAAAUCCUUAAGUGUAGCAAGCUGUUUGUGUCAAAACAACAGUAUAUUUUAGGGAAGAAAAAGACUUACUAGAUAGAAGCUGCAUCAUCAGGAAUGAUAAUGUAUUAGAGCACUAUUGCAUUAAAGAGAUCCCCUUCUGCCACCACUGAAUCAGUAGUUAACAGUGCUCACUGGAGUGCUCACUUCAGCUGCACGGGGUCGUCUUGAGGAAACCCUAACAAUAAUUUUUAAUUUGCUGUUUUAAAAUAUAAUGGCAGCUUAAAUACUGCAUCAUCAAAUUUAUCCAUUUUUUUCACAAGAAAAUAAACAGAUAUGCUCAAAGUAUUUGGCAAAUCAUUUGGCUGCGGUACAUCACUGACAUUACUCAAAGAUGCACAUUUCACAGUCAUCACUUGAAUUAAGCUAAUAUUUUUCUUAAAAUAGUACUAAGGGUUAUUUCAAUAAUUAUUUACUUUUGGUUUCCUUCUUUGUUGUUGCUUUAUGUGUUCAAUAGUAAUCACUUUUUAUUUAUAAAAUAGACUCAGUUCGUCUAUCUUCAAUCCAUCUCUCAUGUGUUCAAGUUAUAAAUCCUAAAAAUUAGAACAAAGAGGUCAUUUGGUAGCAUUACCCUUUCUGGAGGAAACUGGAUUCCUCUCUGUGUGAGGAUUCAAUUUAUUAAAAUAAUUUUACCAUUGCCCUGUCUGGAUUGCUUGAAACUUUCUUAGUAGAGAAAUUUUAAUGGAGUGCCAGUGAUAUAUUCCUAAACUAGCAAGUUCUUAACGACCCUGGAAAGUGACUGCUUGAUUACACUUUAACGGUAUUUGCAAAUAAAAUCACAAGUAAUUAAGGGGAAAUCUCCAGGCUUUUGAGCAAGUUUGAUGCAUGAUAACUGCCUGAUUCAGCUUCAUCUAGAGUAAUGCUGUGUAGACAAGAGCUACUGAGAUCAAUAGCAACAUAAUGAUAGUGGCAGAAUUAAGUGAGUAACCUGAGAACUGUGUCUUCAAAAUGCAUGCAGCUGCCACCAGCCAGGGCCACACAGUGCACUCCUGCUUCCGUCCUAAAUGUUCAUCAAAAGACGCCCUGCAGGAAAAUGGAGUUAGAUGCUCUUUAUUGCUGAUCGUGUCUCUUGCCACAUUUAUCAGGGAAAUUGGAUUAGCAGUUGGCAGCUGCAGGUAGACAAGGUUCUGCAGUGAUUAAAUAUGCAGCUUGGCUGCAUUUGUUGUGACAGACCUUUAGUAAAUUCUACUGUAAGCACCAUCUGUCUAAUUUGUAUAAAGAAAACUUGGUGCUUUAAGCUACUGAUAAAGAACUAAAUCUGUUGCUUUAUCAUAAACAAAACUUUUGCUCUAAAUUACCUUAAACACAAUUUAUUAGGUUAAAGCUAUUUUUCUAUCAUAAUGAAUAAAUAAUACAUGCAAAAGUGCUUUCAGGUACUUCAUUUUCCACGUACUGAAAAACAAAAACAGUUCAGUUCUUCAAUAAAAUGCUUAGUAUUACAAUCCAUGGGGAGAUGACACUGUUAAAAUAUCACUAUGAAAAUGGUCCAGGACUGCCAAACUCGUUUAAUUUGUGGGUUUUACUAGGACUUUCUAACUGGGUAGGUGAUUUUUUAGCUUUUUAAUAUUUCUGAAAUACACCACUGAAAAACAACUGUAACAAGGGAACUCUUUCUUUUUAAAAUAUAUCUGUAAUCAUUACAUCUGCAUACAAAGCAUAUGUUUAGGUUUCUUUUCCAGAGAGAUCAAAUGUGAUUGAGGAUGGCUGAAGUAAUUAUGUGUGUAUGUGUGUUGCUUUCCUCUUUUCUUAUUCCUUUUUUUUUUUUACUACUUCCUUCUUCUCAUUUUUGUAUUAAUAGAAAGAAUUUCCAGUAGUAAAACAAUGCCUAAUUUUCUCCUAAGAAUAUCCAGGUUUCUCUUGACAAUGUGGUUAAGCAAUCUAUUGCCUGGGCAGCUGGAAUCUCAGUAGUACUUUGUUUAUAGUUGUGACAUCAUCACAUUUGCUAGAAAUGCCUGGGAAAAGGAUCUGAAGAAAAAGCAGUUAAAUAGCAACUUGCUAUCUUUAGCUGGUUUGUAGAAACUCCAUGCUGUUAAAUUAUUUAAAAUCCUUGAUUUUCAGCUUGCACACAUUAAAAGUUUUCACACUAAGUGCCAAAUGUUGCAAACAGCACUUUAACAGAAUGAUUUUGCUUUGAUCCCUGUAGCAGUUCCUGAAUAAUUUAUCACAGGUUAUUGCCUUAAUUCUGGAGAGGGAUAGAGCAAUAAAGGCAGAUGAAAACACUCCAGUUGAAACACCUUGGGGCCUGCUCAUUCCUCUGACACGGCUCUUUUGUUGGAACUAUUUAGAGGUUAUUAAGAUGUGUCUCCAGAAUUAAGAGUAUGCUGUAAGGAUGAAGACAGCCAUCUUAAUUCUAAAGACAAAGCACAAUGACCCUUCACCUUUUUUUUCCUUUGUUGUUAUUAUAUAGUAGAAUUAUGAGGGUAAUAUUAUAGCUGCACCCAGUAGUGCCACUAUGGUUAAGGGUCUGUCAGACUUUCCAUUACGAGCCCCAUUUUGGGGGUGGGGGGCGUGAGGAGGCUCCUCUGUUUUAGAUUGUGUUAGUCAGAUGCUUGGCACAUGUUGGCAAAUUAUAGGGGAUUUUCUGUAGAUACUUAAAUCUUCAGCUCCUUUCCUUUGAAAAAAUCCAUUGAAAAAUGUUAUUCUGGACUUUGAAACAAAAUACUUGAAUUUAUUUUUAAAAGGGCUUUGUUGUAAUUAAAUCUUAAGUAAACCUAUCACUGACAUUCAGGGAAGGAUAUUUCAAAAAUUAAAUCUGAACAAAAUUCCUUCAUUAUCAAGAAAAGCAGUGUAUAAACCCCCAUGCUCCUGACAAGCUUCUCUUGCUGUUUUUCUUGUAUUUACUGUUCUUCACUUCUCAUCUCACUCAUUUGGCUGUUGCUGGUUGUGCCAUUCCCUGUCCCGUUGCCCCAGGAAGGGCUGGGGGGCAGCUGGGAAGGACACAGUAGCUUCUUGUAUUCUUCACUUUGCUGGUGAGUCUGCAAGGCACUCCAGAUGCCACAGGAUGACACACAAAAAGUAGAUGUAUAAGUGUAUAAUGUUGUUUGUCAUUAAUAAAUUUUAUGCACGUAAGUGCUAUUUGAUUAUUCUUAAUGGACUAAAACUAGAUUGUCUUAGGGUUUUAGGGGGAAGGUUCUUGCUAACUGUGACCUAAGCAAGCAUGGAAUCUAGGGUGAUUUUUGCUUCUAUUAGAGUUUAAGGAUAUUUUUACCAGUGACUUAAAUGGAUCAGGACUUAUUCAGGAUUCUAGAGGCUAUUCAGUAGGCUAUUUGUCUGGCACCGACUGUGGCAGUGUUAUUUUACACAGUUGAGGUCUGAUGGAUCCCAUCUAAACCACUGGUUUGCUGGGGUUUUACAGGACAAGAAUAUUAUGGUGCCUUGUAAAUUGAGGUAAUUUAUUAAGAAUAGUGUGGGUUAAGAAUGGUACGGGCUUUUUAAUAACACCGUCUGAAUUUAAGUAGUAGAAAAACCAAGAAAUGUAGUUGAUAUAGUAGCUGGUCUCCUUUCUUUAGAGUUUGAGGUCCAAUGGUGUCUGAAGUUGCCUGGUGUUUUUGUAGCUUCUCAGAAAUCUGGUUUAAAGAAAGUUGCACAUCUACUUUUAUUAUUAGUUUUUAAAGUCUCACAACCAAACUGUUUCUUUUUCACUCUUAUUUGCAAAAGAGUGUUUUCUUGCAACUAGUUUUUUUUAUGAAGAUAGAAUAAGCGUGUUGGAGGAAUAUGGAUUAGGGUGGUUGUCCUUUUCUAAUCCACAUUCUAAGCCACACUAGGAUGGGGAGCUCUUUCUCCCUGAGCACAUGCUCAAGCAAAGGCAAGUUCAUGUCUUGCCAGGGGCCGUAGCUCCCCUUCUCCCAGCUCCAGACCUCCUCUGUCCAACCUUGCUUAUCUCCUUUUUUGUGGCUGGAGUGAGCAAAGGAACCAAAAUCAGUCUGGAAUAUUUCCACUCCCUUGUAUCUGUUGCUGCAUCUCUGCCAUGAGAGAGAAGUAUCAAGUGUUGCUUCUGAGUUCUUUUAAUUCUUUAUGUUUUGGCCACCUUGUCUGCUAAAGUUAUUUUCUGUGUGGACAAAGCAGCACACCCACCAAGUAUGAAAAUACAGAUGAGUAUGAAGUUACAAUUUUAUAUUGCAUCUUCUCAGUAUUGAACACUUCCUCUCUAGUGAUUUCAGAGUCCCAUUAAAGUUAAUGAGAGUUGAGACCUCUGAGCAUCUUUGCAAGUUCAGGCCAUUUCAAUGCACAACAGAAACGAAAUGCAAAUAUUAAAAUACUCCCAGCUAUCUCACUAGUGUUUGCUAGAGAACUCAGUUUGUCCUGGGAUAAAUCUAUAUGUGUGCCACCCAAUUCAGCUGGACUGAAUAUGUGAAUCUUACCUUCUGUAUUUCUCAACACUAUAAAUAUUACAGUGUUAGCACCACAUGGGAGUACAUUAUUGAAAACUCUGGGUUUAAAGAGAGAACUCCUUACUGGUUUUUUUGCCAUGGUUCUAUGAUUAUUUUUUUCCAGACUGCAGAACUGUGUCCUUUUAUUGUGAAAAGAAGUACAAACCCCACCUGCAACACAUGGAUAAAAUUCAUUAAAACUGAUGAGUUGUCAAAAAGAAUAUUUAGGUCUGAGUAAAUUGAAAAGUUUGUUUAUGUUGUUAAAAUAUUUUUCAUUCACUAGUGUUUCUUAUUGAUGUCUAUUAAUCAUCCUGAAAACGUCCUGUUAGUAGGGGCUAAUUGUCUAUGCAUACAGUGUUGACUGCAUUUGAGCUGGAAGGACUCUGAAGCCACACUUCAGUCAUUAAAAGGGAAAAAAAUGCUUCUCAGAACUAAUGUUAACACAGAUAGAUUUGCAUAGUCUUCUCUAAACAAAGUGGUUUUUUGAAGAAACCUAACUUGGAAAAUUACUUUAAAAAAACCGAACAGAACAACAAAAGGUAAGUUAAAAUAACAGUACAAUGGGAGUCCUAGUGCAGCCUUAAUUGUAGCUUGUUUUGAGUAUCAGUUAGUCUUACACCUCAUUCAAAAUAUUACAAGCUUAAAUUAACAUUUUAUUGUUAUUAUUACUUUAAAUAUAUUAAUACAGGAAGCACUUUUAAACAUUAAUACAUUGUAUUCAUAUAUUAUAUUUUCAUAUGCGUUAUUCAUUAUGAAAGCAUAUCCAAUAAUCCAAAGCAUUUCCUAAGCAUUUUGCCAGUGUUAGCACUGGAAAACUUGUAUAAAUCGUUUGUCCAAGGAUCUUUGUGGUUUUUUUCUAAGAAAAAAAAAAAAGGUUUGAGCGAGACAUUUAAACUAAUGAAUCAAAAUCAGCUCUGUGGUCAUCAUUGGCUGAUUAUUACCCCAUCUGCUGCGUGCUAACGUGAAAAUCAAUUACCGUGUCUCUCCCCACUGGCAGCGUAUGCUGGCGGGCCCGCGGGCUCGCCCUGGCUGAGCACAAAGAGCAGCUCCUCCCCUGCUCCCGGGACGUGUCCUUUGUGCCCGCACAAUGCCCGCUCUGUGCACGCAGGGAUGCCAGGCCCCUCGCAUUAGUUUAAUAGUGUGGCACAGUGGGGAAGAGGAAACAAAGCUAAAUGAACUAAUGUGUAAUCAGCUAAAAUUACAGCACAACGGACACCGUGCAGUUAACUGGGAAGGACCACGCAGAGGUCACUUUUCUGUUGUGUUACACUGCUAAUCUAGCAAAUGUAUCCAAGGAGGUUUCUUUCCUUCAUAAUUCCCUAAUGUUUUCAUAAAAAGAAAAAAAAAGCCAUGUCUUUAAUUCCAAACACAAUGUACCUACAUUUGGUUUAACAUCAGAAGUGCUUAAAAAAUACUAUACAAGUGCUAUCUGGGGAGAUUUCUUUCUCUGGUAUGAAUCAUGUCUUUAAUUUAGUCAGUUACUUUCUAUUUAUGUCAGCUCUAUUAAUAUCACAACACUUGCAGUCAUCUUAAUCCAGAAGAAAACAGACAUCUGAAAACAAAACCAAAAUCUUUACAUUGUAGUUUUCUUCAAUAGGUAAUGAUAAUGAACUCCGUUUGCUUUAAAUAUUGUAUACAUUUUUAAGCUGACACAUAUAACAAUACUCCUGGGUAUUUUCUUAACACUACAGAGAAAUGUUUUGUAUUUUUAAGAAAACGGUGGCUGUAGUUCUCUGUCAGGCACACAGUCAUAUUGGUAAUAAACUGCUGAAGUACACAUUGUGAAAAUUUUUGUUUUAUAAUUUAGAUCUCACAAAACUAUAAAAAUUAAUUAUGUGUUUGUUUUAUGGACAGAAAAAAUAACAUUCAAGAACAAUUAGUUUUAGUUUUAGUUUUAGUCCAUUAAGAAUAAUCAAAUAGCACUUAUGUGCAUAAAAUUUAUUAAUGACAAGCAAUUGCAUACUUUACAAGAAAUCAAGCUUUUAAAAAUCUUUUUGUUUUAAGUCAAUUAUGAAGCUCUACUGUUCACUAAUAAUCUUCCUGAUUAAGAAAGAGAAAUGCAAUUGCAACUAGGAAAUUGCGCUUUCAGGACUGAAAGGCUGAACAGCAAAGCCAUCCUCGGGUGGUGGGGAGUAGGAUCCUGAUGACCAUUCAGAAAAGCCCUAUUAAAGACCUUCACAAGCCUUCGGUGAUUCUAUCUGUGUGCAGGCUCAGCUUGCAGAAAGUAAGUCCAAAACAGAAAGCAGUGUAAUCUUUAUUUCUCCUAAAAUCCGUGGAAAGCAUCCCUUAUUUUCAGCUUUAGAGGACUAAAGGGAAAAAAACCCCCCCACCACCAAACCACUCAAGUCCUGAAGCCAGGCUGUGAAUUAGCAUCUCAUUUUCUAGUGGGCACCACUGGGUACAUUUAACUUUGUUAGUACUGUUCGUGCUUGUGUUACCCUAAAACUUAAUAAAACAGGAAGAUGUGCAAAAGGAGAUCAGUGCUGCUUCCAUUUCAAAUUGGUUUUACUUUGUUUUUCCUAGUACAACACGAGUGUUGUUUUCCUGUGCAGAACUGCAGAUCUCCAGCUGUGGGAGGAGCAGCAGAGACUUACCUCCUCUCCAUUUGAAAAAAAUAGAUGCAUCCACGGAGGUGGCUUUUUAGAGAAGGGUGCAGGAUAUAUAAUCCUCCGGACCCUCUCCUGAUUUCUUUUUAUUUAUUCCUUCAAUUUUAUGAAUUAAGUUUACUUCAAAUAAAGAAAAACAGCCUCCAACUUUUGGAUUUCAUUAUUAUAUAUUUGCAAUAAAGAUAGAUUGAAAUGUAGCUUUGUGUGGAAUUCAAAGCUCAGGCCUUCUCAGUUCCUUUUCCCUUGUACAGAUUCAAAAUCUUUUCUUCCUCACUUUUGGCUGUAAAGGAUAAGUGCAUGUUUCUGAUCAGUGGAUUUCUCCUCAUUUGGAUGAGUCCAGCUGCAUCCAGGUAUUGAUCCCAAGCAUUACAGCAGAAUGAGCUGCUAUAAUCACAACUCUUAUUUACUGUAGAUAAAGACAGAAAGGUAAACGGGAGGGGAAGGGAGGAUCAGGUGCCAGUUCUAUCAUAUCUAGUUUAAAUACCCUUUGAUUAACACAUUUCUUUUUUAGUUUCAAAUAUAUAAUCAGAAAAUGGUUUUAAUAGCAAAGAAAAGCUGUUUUACAAAGAUGUUUUAUUCUAUUAUGUUUGGGGCCCUAGUAUUUCAAUAUUGAAAAUGGCAAAUACAGAAUAUUAGCGAAAAUAAAUCCAUUUAGUUAUAUUUGUUAAAUAAAUAAAUAAUACUAAGAGGCAAGGGAUAAAAAGUCAAGCUUUUAAUAUAAGAUGAUGUUUAUUCUGUAUUGAAUACUGUCAGAAAUAGUCACUUGUAAAUCAUUGGUAGAAGAAUGUCUUGAUAAACUUUUCAAGUGAUUGCAGGAAAUAUUUUGGGUUUUAGGCCUGUCCAUAACAAAACAAAUUACACUGGGUAAUCUCUCACCUGAUCGCAGCACUUAGGAUUUAAGCUUUGUCCAGUAGAUGGCAAAAAUGAGCAGAAAUAAUUUCUUUGAUGUCCUUUUGGUCCAGGGCAGGGAGAGGGGAGGCACGGGGGACACUGCUGUAUCUUGUAUUUUACCAUUAUGAUUGAGUUAUGGCUCGUGGUUUAGAGGUGUGUUGUCAGGUAUGCUGGAGCUGUGCUGCAUUGCCAAGUGGGGCUGGUUUGUAGCAGCCUUGCUUAUACUAAUUGAGUUUCUCCAGCAAAUCAGGCUCCUUGGAAAAAGGCCAAAGGCUUUUCAUAAUUGUAUUGACAAGAAAAUGAAUAUGAUAAAUGGUGUUCAUUCAGCUGAGACAAGAUUUAUAGUUUUCCUCUGGCAAGGGAUGAAGAGAAAAUAUUUAUAAUAAUAGUAAAAUUUGUUUUAAAGUUGUAUUAGGUGAUAUCUCAAAAGACUUCAUUAAAAUAUUUCCAAAUACUUUAA
Molecule: long non-coding RNA, 10089 nt
Organism: Pipra filicauda (Wire-tailed manakin)
Lineage: Eukaryota; Metazoa; Chordata; Aves; Passeriformes; Pipridae
Exons: 8
Source: RefSeq, a predicted model, not a curated record